Choloepus didactylus (southern two-toed sloth) is the source of this 275-nucleotide long non-coding RNA. RefSeq lists it as uncharacterized. The record is from RefSeq and is a predicted model, not a curated record. The transcript is spliced from 2 exons. Lineage: Eukaryota; Metazoa; Chordata; Mammalia; Pilosa; Megalonychidae.
CAGCCAUGUGCCUUCCCAGCGAAUAGAGGUUUUCCGGACACCAUUGGCCAUCCUCCAGUGAAGGUAAAAGCAUCUUGUGAAGAAUGGAGUUUUGCCUCUCAUCUCAGUGGAUAUAUCCCCUCUAAAAAAAAAUCAGAACAAGACUUAUCCUCGCCAAAAAAUGGAGAGUCACUGAACUAUAUUGAAGAAAACAUGCUCUCAAUUGCAACAGAACAUUGAGCUUAUUUCCUUUCAGAAGCACAUUUUUCUUUAUUAAAAUUAUGGAUGUAGAACAA